CCUACGGGAGGCAGCAGUCGAGAAUCAUUCACAAUGGGGGAAACUCUGAUGGUGCGACGCCGCGUGGGGGAAUGAAGGUCUUCGGAUUGUAAACCCCUGUCAUGUGGGAGCAAAUUAAAAAGAUAGUACCACAAGAGGAAGAGACGGCUAACUCUGGGCCAGCAGCCGCGGUAAUACAGAGGUUUCAAGCGUUGUUCGGAAUCACUGGGCGUAAAGCGUGCGUAGGCUGUUUAGUAAGUCGGGUGUGAAAGGCGCGGGCUCAACCCGCGGACGGCACAUGAUACUGCGAGACUAGAGUAGUGGAGGGGGAGCCGGAAUUCUUGGUGUAGCAGUGAAAUGCGUAGAUAUCGAGAGGAACACUCGUGGCGAAGGCGGGUGCCUGGACAUUAACUGACGCUGAGGCACGAAGGCCAGGGGAGCGAAAGGGAUUAGAUACCCCUGUAGUC
This 446-nucleotide ribosomal RNA is filed under the name uncultured bacterium. RNAcentral's name for it is "partial 16S ribosomal RNA". It matches the Rfam family "Bacterial small subunit ribosomal RNA", at positions 338 to 795 of the family's 1533-position model. The record is from RNAcentral.